RNAcentral lists this long non-coding RNA (813 nucleotides) under Marmota monax (woodchuck). The record is from RNAcentral. Lineage: Eukaryota; Metazoa; Chordata; Mammalia; Rodentia; Sciuridae.
AUUGGAGAUUGCAUUUCUUAUUGUGGAAAGGAUGCUUAAGUGAGCGGCUUAGGAGGGAGUUUCUGACUGAUAAAAUGAAUCAGAAAAAAAAGCUACUUUUCACUCUAGAGUCCGUGAAAAAUGGAGUAUCUGUCCAACACGGGUGUUUAAGGAGAUACUAGAAGAAAAUCCCCACCCUACCCAUAUGGGUUUAGUUUUGUAUAUUUGCUCCUUUCAAAAAUCUUGAGGUAGUUAUCACCCCCGUUUUACAGAGAAAAGCAAGAUCUCAAAGUCAUCCUGGUAAUAAAACCUGAAAUCAGGAUUCAGGUUUUCUUUUGUAAUUCAUGAAUGCUUUUAAAAAAUUGCUUCUCAUUAUUAAUAUAUAUAAAAGGACAUUUAAGAGAUAUAUGUAAGUUAUAAAGAAUAAUAAUACCAUGGACACCCUUGUGUGUGCCCAACAUGGAGUUGAAGAAGUCCCCUGAGUGUUCUUCCCCAUUGAAUCUCAUCCUGAUCCCUCUGAGCUAACCUCUAUCUUGAAUUUUACAGCGAUUAUUCCGUUGCUUUCCUGUGUAUAUUUCCAAGCCUUGCACAGUAUAUGUUGGUUAAUUUUGCAUGUUCUCAUUUUUUAUAUACAGGAAUCAUACUGUUAAGUGUUCUGCUAUGUGAUUUUCAUGCUCAGUCCUACACUAGCCUACCUGCCACUGCAUGUGGCUGUCCUUGGAUUGUCCAGGGCUCUAUUGAGAUGGAUCAUUACCUGUGCUUUGAAUCUCAGAUAUUGUGAAUAAAUAUCACCUUUGUUCUUGGGAACCUGAUUAUCAGUUUAACUGUUCUGCC